This 416-nucleotide ribosomal RNA is filed under the name uncultured bacterium. Its description in RNAcentral is "bacterial SSU rRNA". It matches the Rfam family "Bacterial small subunit ribosomal RNA", at positions 29 to 436 of the family's 1533-position model. The record is from RNAcentral.
AACGAACGCUGGCGGCGCGCUUAACACAUGCAAGUCGAACGAGAAGGCGUAGCAAUACGCUUGUACAGUGGCGAACGGGUGAGUAAUACGUGGGCGACCUACCCUCGAGUGGGGAAUAACCCGCCGAAAGGCGGGCUAAUGCCGCGUACGCUUCCAUCUUUAUGGAGGUGGAAGGAAAGCCGUGCCGUGGGCACGGCGCUCAAGGAUGGGCUCACGUCCUAUCAGCUUGUUGGAGGGUAACGGCCUACCAAGGCUCCGACGGGUAGCUGGUCUGAGAGGACGAUCAGCCACACUGGCACUGCGACACGGGCCAGACUCCUACGGGAGGCAGCAGUGAGGAAUAUUGCGCAAUGGGCGAAAGCCUGACGCAGCGACGCCGCGUGGGGGAUGAAGGUCUUCGGAUUGUAAACCCCUUU